UACGUAGGGUGCGAGCGUUGUCCGGAAUUAUUGGGCGUAAAGAGCUCGUAGGCGGUGUGUCACGUCGGCCGUGAAAACCUGCAGCUUAACUGUGGGCGUGCGGUCGAUACGGGCAUCACUGGAGUUCGGCAGGGGAGACUGGAAUUCCUGGUGUAGCGGUGAAAUGCGCAGAUAUCAGGAGGAACACCGGUGGCGAAGGCGGGUCUCUGGGCCGAUACUGACGCUGAGGAGCGAAGGCGUGGGGAGCAAACAGG
RNAcentral lists this ribosomal RNA (254 nucleotides) under uncultured bacterium. RNAcentral's name for it is "partial 16S ribosomal RNA". It matches the Rfam family "Bacterial small subunit ribosomal RNA", at positions 524 to 776 of the family's 1533-position model. The record is from RNAcentral.